Small nucleolar RNA from Sorex araneus (European shrew), 133 nucleotides. Lineage: Eukaryota; Metazoa; Chordata; Mammalia; Eulipotyphla; Soricidae. The record is from Ensembl.
GCACCUGAAUCUUUCCCAUUCCUGCUGCUUCAUGCUGGCGUGGGGACAGAUGGUGCAACAGUACAAGCAGAGUAAAUCCAGACGGGUCGUUUCCAUUUUUCUUGGGGCUUGUCUCUACAGCUCUGCCAUACUU